AGCUAGUUGGUGAGGUAACGGCCCACCAAGGCGACGAUCGGUAGCCGGACUGAGAGGUUGAACGGCCACAUUGGGACUGAGACACGGCCCAGACUCCUACGGGAGGCAGCAGUGGGGAAUAUUGCACAAUGGGGGAAACCCUGAUGCAGCGACGCCGCGUGGAGGAAGAAGGUCUUCGGAUUGUAAACUCCUGUUGUUGAGGAAGAUAAUGACGGUACUCAACAAGGAAGUGACGGCUAACUACGUGCCAGCAGCCGCGGUAAAACGUAGGUCACAAGCGUUGUCCGGAAUUACUGGGUGUAAAGGGAGCGCAGGCGGGAGAACAAGUUGGAAGUGAAAUCCAUGGGCUCAACCCAUGAACUGCUUUCAAAACUGUUUUUCUUGAGUAGUGCAGAGGUAGGCGGAAUUCCCGGUGUAGCGGUGGAAUGCGUAGAUAUCGGGAGGAACACCAGUGGCGAAGGCGGCCUACUGGGCACCAACUGACGCUGAGGCUCGAAAGUGUGGGUAGCAAACAGGAUUAGAUACCCUGGUAGUCCACACCGUAAACGAAGAUUACUAGGUGUUGGAGGAUUGACCCCUUCAGUGCCGCAGUUAACACAAUAAGUAAUCCACCUGGGGAGUACGACCGCAAGGUUGAAACUCAAAGGAAUUGACGGGGGCCCGCACAAGCAGUGGAGUAUGUGGUUUAAUUCGACGCAACGCGAAGAACCUUACCAAGUCUUGACAUCCCUUGACGAUGCUGGAAACAGCAUUUCUCUUCGGUGCAAGGAGACAGGUGGUGCAUGGUUGUCGUCAGCUCGUGUCGUGAGAUGUUGGGUUAAGUCCCGCAACGAGCGCAACCCUUAUGGUCAGUUACUACGCAAGAGGACUCUGGCCAGACUGCCGUUGACAAAACGGAGGAAGGUGGGGAUGACGUCAAAUCAUCAUGCCCUUUAUGACUUGGGCUACACACGUACUACAAUGGCGUUAAACAAAGAGAAGCAAGACCGCGAGGUGGAGCAAAACUCAGAAACAACGUCCCAGUUCGGACUGCAGGCUGCAACUCGCCUGCACGAAGUCGGAAUUGCUAGUAAUCGUGGAUCAGCAUGCCACGGUGAAUACGUUCCCGGGCCUUGUACACACCGCCCGUCACACCAUGAGAGCCGGGGGGACCCGAAGUCGGUAGUCUAACCGCAAGGAGGACGCCGCCGAAGGUAAAACUGGUGAUUGGGGUGAAGUCGUAACAAGGUAGCCGUAGGAGAACCUGCGGCUG
RNAcentral lists this ribosomal RNA (1252 nucleotides) under metagenome. Its description in RNAcentral is "bacterial SSU rRNA". It matches the Rfam family "Bacterial small subunit ribosomal RNA", at positions 243 to 1520 of the family's 1533-position model. The record is from RNAcentral.